Molecule: transfer RNA, 86 nt
Filed under: Prochlorococcaceae cyanobacterium ETNP1_MAG_8
Lineage: Bacteria; Bacillati; Cyanobacteriota; Cyanophyceae; Synechococcales; Prochlorococcaceae
Description: tRNA-Leu
Rfam family: tRNA
About the family: Transfer RNA (tRNA) molecules are approximately 80 nucleotides in length. Their secondary structure includes four short double-helical elements and three loops (D, anti-codon, and T loops).
Source: RNAcentral
GGGAGCAUGGCGGAAUUGGUAGACGCAGCGGACUUAAAAUCCGUAGGCCGUAAAAGACUGUGGGGGUUCAAGUCCCCCUGCCCCCA